Molecule: long non-coding RNA, 3599 nt
Organism: Brienomyrus brachyistius
Lineage: Eukaryota; Metazoa; Chordata; Actinopteri; Osteoglossiformes; Mormyridae
Exons: 2
Source: RefSeq, a predicted model, not a curated record
GUGAGUCUGUCUCAUGGAGACCAAGACUGGGAAUGCAGAACCCAAAGGAUUCUUUUGUACCUUUUACCAGUGUUUCUCUAGGAUGUGUUGUAUAGCACCAUAGCAAAGCACUUGAUGCACGCCUAGGCUUGAUGUACCCAAAGUUCACUCUGAUUGGCUGAGGGAGGAUAUACACUCAAAAUAUCGGAGACUUGAUGGUCUUCAGAAACCAUUAUGGUGUAACGCUCAACUGCCGAGUAACCACAAUGCCACGCUAUCACAGAGACAUGUUCAUACUGCCUUUCAGAUUUAACGAGAAGAACUUCAGGCUAACUAUUAUUUACAACAGAAGAGAACUUUUGAAUGGACUGAGUGCAUGGAAACUCCACACCACUGCUCUCUUAAUAUUAAUGUGUCUAGUAAAGUGAUGUGAGAAAUGAGGCUGUGACAACAAUUUCAGUGGGCAUUGAUGGUACAAUGACUCUAGAUACACUGCAUACAUUUGCUUCCUCCUUUGAUGAGAUAGAGAUGACAACAGUAAUAAUGUCCACACUGUUCUUCGCUUUUCAUUUAUUUUUAAAAGCACGUUGGUAGAUACUGCAAAUUUGGGGGGGUUUAAUAAGAACAAAAUGACAUUAAUCAUGGAAUCUGCUACAAUUGGAGUUUGAUUGCUCCCCCAUGUUAACCAGGAAGACGCAUUCAUAUGUAAAAAUAAAUAUGACCAAACAGGAUGCCUCCGUAGUGGUGAUGUGCAGAUCUCAUGUGGUCAGCUCACUGUCUUGGUAGGCUGACUUGUAUCGGGGGCGGGCUUUGCGCCAGUGGGCCAAUGGGAUUCAUCCAGUGGCACCGGGAGGCGGGACCCUCUGCAUUUGCUGGUCUCUAGAAUGUGUCGACUUGCCAAACACACCAGCGCUAAAGGCAUCACAGCUGACUGACUGCACGGACCAAAAAGGCAUUUAGGGGCAGCUUAACUGUCACUCGUUCACUUUUUAUAGCCUGGAUGUUGUAAUUCCUUUGCUGUGACACUUGUUGCACCGUUGAGCUUCUAAUUUCAAAGUAACUAGCCAAUGGCAUUUGCUCUUGAACUGGAACAUCCUGCCCGGCUUGAGAUGCACACAGAUAACAACGGAAGCAUUGGAAAAUCCAUGCAAAUGUGUAAGAGCUGGGUGAUAACCUUUUCAGGGGCUCUUGAGUUGCUUUUGUGUGCGGUCAAUUUUUAAUGAUUUAAAUGAAACAGGACUACAAAGUGUGGAGAGGGGGGUGAUGACAGGGCUGCUUGUUUCAUAAUAAGUCUUGUUUUAUUUAUAUCCAGUAGUAAAUUGUAGAGAAUGUGUACCGGGGUGGAUAUGGCGUACACGCUACCAGUUGGGAACUCUCCCUAUUUUUAGCAUUUAAUUGACAAAGGUCACAAAACCAAGUCUUUGAAUAUUUCUACAGUAUUAAUAAUGGCCAUUUUACUAUACAGGCUUGUGGAGUGUAUAGUUUAUCUGUUCCAGGUGUGUACAGGAACCAGGUGAUAGGUGAGUGAACCGGCCUCUUCCACGUAAGCAGUGCCUAUCUGGUCUCCCUCUCUUCGACCGACGGAUGGACUCUGCGUGAACAAACAUGCUUGUGUUCCUCUGAUACCUUCUUUCCCAGGUAGAAUCACCUGAAACUCCAGGGCACCGGCCUCAUUGACCCAGUGGCCAUGUGGGCACCAUGUGACGUGUUACAGAUUUUCCGCUAAUCACCUGGAUCCUUUUCCAUGUCCCACCCCUAUACAAAUACUGAUGCAUACCGGUGACCAAAAACAGAGAAGAGUGGAACAUUUUAUGACCUUUUCCACUUACAGAGGCAAAACACUAAGAGAAAAACUAAGGACCAUUUGGAUGUCACGUCCUGUCGUGCCGCUUUCAACAUGAAAAAGUUUCAAGACUUGUGCUAAAGUGGACCUGUGAAAAAUGAGUCCUUCCGUUUCACCUUAUAAUGAUCUGUGCUGGAAGGUCACAAGAGGAAGUAACGUGGUCCUUAAAUCGCAAGAGGAGGUGAGAAGAUUCCCGGCAGCUCGGAGAAUAUCAGUUCAACAGACGUUAUCAAUCACCACAGGUUCACUAGCAGCAUUUAACGUGUUUUCCAAGCGCUGCCGGGAAAGAAGCUAAAGCCCAAUUCUGUAAUCGGAUCUAGGAACUCCAAUAGCGUCUGCUGAAAGCAGAUUUCCCACAAUGCACUGCUGUCUUCCACCAAUUUCCAGUGCAACACAGUUGGAGUUUGUCAUUCCUUCUGCUACUGUAAUAAAUCGCUCUCAGGAUAUAAACGUUCUUAAAAACACUGCCAAAAAACGUUUGUUCCAGCUCACACAAAACUAAAUAACGGUGAGAAAAUGGUAUAUCUUUAUUGUUCAGCCUAUGUUCUUUUCUAUGGUGCUUGUGUCCGUUUACCAGGUAUAGUAAUGCAGUUCUGCAUUUCUGUAUUUUAAAAUGUCACAGCUGGGUAAUUACUACUGAGCUUUCAUUGCCCUACUAACUCAUGGCACCUUGGGGAACUUGAACCUGCCACCUCUAAACCACAAGAUCAUUUCCCUAACCCCUCUACUACCUGCUGUCGGCUAAUACGAGGAUGUCUACAGAACGCAGUUUAAUGAAGUGAUAUUGUUUCCUGAGGAAUGGUCAUGGUAACCCCAUUAGUUUGCGUGUGUAUGUAUGUGUGUGUGUGUAUUUUGCAUGUUGGGCUCAUGUGCGCAAGUCUGGUGUGGAAGUGGUCGUGCAAUUAGCACAGGCGCAAAUGGUACAACAUUCAAAAUUAUAUUUAGGUUGUUUGUGCAGAAGUAUCAUCCUCUAUGUCAGUUAUUAAUUAAGGACAGGGAGAGGGCCUUGGCCAUCACAGUGCUGCCCCUAAUGGAAGCACACAGCUAAUAUCAGGAGGUGCAGCUCCUUGGGCGAGGGAACGGCGGCAGGGUCCUGUGUAGCGACCCACCUGUCCACACACUUCUUCUGCUGUCUCCUCCAAUCAGCUGUAGAACAUGAAGCCAGAUGACAGUGUGGACCACGUCCCCAGACAGUCCUGUUUCCGGGCCGCAUCUCCCUGUCCACCCACUGGGGAAGAGGUUUAGCGUUCUGGGCCGUCACUGCUAUUGGAGUUGACCUCCCAAACAGUGCCAGCUGUUGGAGAAGCGAAACUCUUCCUCUGUGCAUAAACUCAUGGUAGCAUUUCAGUGAGGAAAUGAGAGGGAUGCUUCUUAAAUUUUCUUUCACUGCGCCUAAAUCAGUUAACCAUAGUGACCCAGAAGAUUAUAGCAAAAUGCCAAAAAGAACAAUCUAGAAAAGAUAUUAUUUGAAUGAAUGCUAUUAACCAGAUAUUAACCUUAUACCGAACCGGUCCUCAGGUAUUUAAGCGCUAUUUUAUUUUGCUGCUUUAAAGUCAUUUUCACAAGUAUAAAAUGUUCAGUUCAAGAGGUACACUUCAAGCGUGAUGUGACAUAAGAAGGAAAGCUUGAGAUGAGUAAGGCAUUCUGUCGCAUCGUGGGAAGGGAUGUAGUGUCAUUCCCCUGAUUUGGUUUGUCCGUGUGUGUUGUUUUAACAGCCAGUUUGAUUAUCUGGUCUUAUCUGUGAAAUGUUGAAACCGUAAUGAAACUCUGACACCCA